RNAcentral lists this ribosomal RNA (585 nucleotides) under uncultured bacterium. RNAcentral describes it as "bacterial SSU rRNA". It matches the Rfam family "Bacterial small subunit ribosomal RNA", at positions 338 to 916 of the family's 1533-position model. The record is from RNAcentral.
CCUACGGGAGGCAGCAGUGGGGAAUUUUGGACAAUGGGCGCAAGCCUGAUCCAGCCAUGCCGCGUGUGGGAAGAAGGCCUUCGGGUUGUAAACCACUUUUGUCAGGGAAGAAACGGUUUGUCCUAAUACGGCGGACUAAUGACGGUACCUGAAGAAUAAGCACCGGCUAACUACGUGCCAGCAGCCGCGGUAAUACGUAGGGUGCAAGCGUUAAUCGGAAUUACUGGGCGUAAAGCGUGCGCAGGCGGCUUUGCAAGACAGAUGUGAAAUCCCCGGGCUCAACCUGGGAACUGCAUUUGUGACUGCAUGGCUAGAGUACGGUAGAGGGGGAUGGAAUUCCGCGUGUAGCAGUGAAAUGCGUAGAUAUGCGGAGGAACACUGAUGGCGAAGGCAAUCCCCUGGACCUGUACUGACGCUCAUGCACGAAAGCGUGGGGAGCAAACAGGAUUAGAUACCCUGGUAGUCCACGCCCUAAACGAUGUCAACUGGUUGUUGGACGGCUUGCUGUUCAGUAACGAAGCUAACGCGUGAAGUUGACCGCCUGGGGAGUGCGGCCGCAAGGUUGAAACUCAAAGGAAUUGACGG